AAGUCGUAACAAGGUUUCCGUAGGUGAACCUGCGGAAGGAUCAUUAAAAAUAAAAGUGGGACUUUCAGCAGUAGAUUCUUUCCCCUCGGGGACUUGAAACCUGCCGUUAGUUCAACAACACUUUUACACCACUUGUGCACUUGUCAUUGUCUCUGGCAGGAUAACCUGUUCGUUGUUUUAAUCGAAGCUGUACAAUUUUAACUGAGUGUGAAAACGCAAGGUCUUAAUUAACAGCCAAGUUUAACAGCGAGCAUGGCCCUGCCGCUUUAUUUUAAUCAACCAUGUUUUUAAACCACGUCUGAAACAACAAUCUUAAGGUCGAAAGGCUUUGAUAAUAAAUACAACUUUUGGCAACGGAUCUCUUGGCUCUC
RNAcentral lists this unclassified non-coding RNA (371 nucleotides) under fungal sp. RNAcentral's name for it is "partial internal transcribed spacer region". The stretch from base 1 to 46 matches the Rfam family "Eukaryotic small subunit ribosomal RNA", at positions 1786 to 1831 of the family's 1831-position model. The record is from RNAcentral. Lineage: Eukaryota; Fungi.